UACAGAGGUCUCAAGCGUUGUUCGGAAUCACUGGGCGUAAAGGGUGCGUAGGCGGCCGUGCAAGUCUGGCGUGAAAGCCCCGGGCUCAGCCCGGGAAGUGCGCUCGAAACUGCGCGGCUCGAGUGCCGGAGGGGAGAGUGGAAUUCCUGGUGUAGCGGUGAAAUGCGUAGAUAUCAGGAGGAAUACCGGUGGCGAAAGCGACUCUCUGGACGGCAACUGACGCUGAGGCACGAAAGCGUGGGGAGCAAACAGG
This 253-nucleotide ribosomal RNA is filed under the name uncultured bacterium. RNAcentral describes it as "partial 16S ribosomal RNA". It matches the Rfam family "Bacterial small subunit ribosomal RNA", at positions 524 to 776 of the family's 1533-position model. The record is from RNAcentral.